RNAcentral lists this ribosomal RNA (502 nucleotides) under uncultured bacterium. Its description in RNAcentral is "bacterial SSU rRNA". It matches the Rfam family "Bacterial small subunit ribosomal RNA", at positions 26 to 518 of the family's 1533-position model. The record is from RNAcentral.
GCUAGGAUGAACGCUAGCUACAGGCUUAACACAUGCAAGUCGAGGGGCAGCAUUGGGGUAGCAAUACUCAGAUGGCGACCGGCGCACGGGUGAGUAACACGUAUCCAACCUGCCGCUUACUCGGGGAUAGCCUUUCGAAAGAAAGAUUAAUACCCGAUGGUAUAAAGAGUUCGCAUGUUCUCUUUAUUAAAGAAUUUCGGUAAGCGAUGGGGAUGCGUUCCAUUAGAUAGUUGGCGGGGUAACGGCCCACCAAGUCUACGAUGGAUAGGGGUUCUGAGAGGAAGGUCCCCCACAUUGGAACUGAGACACGGUCCAAACUCCUACGGGAGGCAGCAGUGAGGAAUAUUGGUCAAUGGACGAGAGUCUGAACCAGCCAAGUAGCGUGAAGGAUGACUGCCCUAUGGGUUGUAAACUUCUUUUAUAAGGGAAUAAAGUGAGGGACGUGUCCCUUUUUGUAUGUACCUUAUGAAUAAGGAUCGGCUAACUCCGUGCCAGCAGCAGC